This 503-nucleotide ribosomal RNA is filed under the name uncultured soil bacterium. RNAcentral's name for it is "bacterial SSU rRNA". It matches the Rfam family "Bacterial small subunit ribosomal RNA", at positions 26 to 522 of the family's 1533-position model. The record is from RNAcentral.
AGAUUGAACGCUGGCGGCAGGCCUAACACAUGCAAGUCGAGCGGUAGAGAGGUGCUUGCACCUCUUGAGAGCGGCGGACGGGUGAGUAAUGCCUAGGAAUCUGCCUAGUGGUGGGGGAUAACGUUCGGAAACGGACGCUAAUACCGCAUACGUCCUACGGGAGAAAGCGGGGGACCUUCGGGCCUCGCGCCAUUAGAUGAGCCUAGGUCGGAUUAGCUAGUUGGUGAGGUAAUGGCUCACCAAGGCGACGAUCCGUAACUGGUCUGAGAGGAUGAUCAGUCACACUGGAACUGAGACACGGUCCAGACUCCUACGGGAGCAGCAGUGGGAAUAUGGACAAUGGGCGAAAGCCUGAUCCAGCCAUGCCGCGUGUGUGAAGAAGGUCUUCGGAUUGUAAAGCACUUUAAGUGGAGGAAGGUUGUAAACUUAAUACGGUUUGCUAAACUUUGAACGUUACCGAACUAAGAAUAAGCACCGGCUAACUCGUGCCAGCAGCCGCGUAA